This 86-nucleotide transfer RNA is filed under the name Desulfurella acetivorans. RNAcentral's name for it is "tRNA-Leu". It matches the Rfam family "tRNA". From Rfam's summary of the family: Transfer RNA (tRNA) molecules are approximately 80 nucleotides in length. Lineage: Bacteria; Pseudomonadati; Campylobacterota; Desulfurellia; Desulfurellales; Desulfurellaceae. The record is from RNAcentral.
GCGAGCGUGGCGGAACUGGCAGACGCGCUAGACUUAGGAUCUAGUGCCCAAAAGGUGUGGGAGUUCGAGUCUCCCCGCUCGCACCA